UCAAAUCCUAAAUGUUCCCUCAACUAAUACCCAAGACGAAUCGAGUUCUGAAUUAGGGAUAGAUGAUGCAGAUAUGAGAAAGAAUAAGAGAACCAGAGAGGAAGGUCCUUGAAUACUUCUAUUUCAUACAACCUUAAUCCAAUCAAUCUCUGUAAUAACCCCAUGAACCAAACCGUGAACAAUGAGAUGGAGGAUAUGGUAGAGUAUGAUGAUUUUCAUGCUGAACAUAAAAUGGAAUCCUAGCACAACUAUGUUGGAGAAAGUUCUACAAAAGCAUUUGAUAGCUCAGGAAAUGCACCCGGCGUGAUUUGCAAAGGGACUGCUCAGAAUCACUAUGGAAUUCCUGCAAUUGAUAACCAGGAAAAACUCUAUUGAUAUUGGUAUUGGCAUUUAUCUUAUUGAUGGCUCGGGGAAUUAUGGAGGCUGCAAAACCGUUGCAGGGGUAGCAAGAGAUGCAGAAGAAGCUGAGUGUUGUGCUUGAAGCUGCUAAAUCGGCAAAGAGUCUGAUUUUAGAUGUGAUCUGCAUCAACAAUGAUGCUAAAAACCCUAUCUCUUAUUUAAGAAAUAAAAAUAACCAGAUUAGCCGGUUCAGUAGUUCUAUCUUAGAUGAUAGUCUUUUCAUUCUGAACAAUUUCUCUUUUCAUGAAGUUAGAAAUGUUAGUAGAAAUUCUGAAUUUUUAUCGUUGGCUGAUUCCGCUGCCAAACAUUGUAGGAAGUUCAGAAGAUCUGAAGAAUGGAAGGAUAUUGUGCCUUCAUUCCUAGAUCAUUUGUAAAACUUUUCUUUUUUAUUAAUUUAAGUAUUUUUCCUAGCAAAAAAAGAAA
Molecule: long non-coding RNA, 822 nt
Organism: Papaver somniferum (opium poppy)
Lineage: Eukaryota; Viridiplantae; Streptophyta; Magnoliopsida; Ranunculales; Papaveraceae
Exons: 2
Source: RefSeq, a predicted model, not a curated record